Molecule: ribosomal RNA, 305 nt
Filed under: uncultured bacterium
Lineage: Bacteria
Description: bacterial SSU rRNA
Rfam family: Bacterial small subunit ribosomal RNA
Source: RNAcentral
UCCUACGGGGGGCAGCAGUAGGGAAUUUUCGUCAAUGGGCGCAAGCCUGAACGAGCAAUGCCGCGUGAACGAGGAAGGUCUUCGGAUCGUAAAGUUCUGUUGAAGGGGAAAAAGAGCGGAGAGAGGAAAUGGUCUCCGAUUGAUAUUACCCUUCGAGGAAGUCACGGCUAACUACGUGCCAGCAGCCGCGGUAAUACGUAGGUGGCGAGCGUUAUCCGGAAUGAUUGGGCGUAAAGGGUGCGUAGGCGGCCUGCUAAGUCUGGAGUGAAAGGUACCGGCUCAACCGGUACAGGCUUUGGAAACUG